RNAcentral lists this ribosomal RNA (302 nucleotides) under uncultured bacterium. RNAcentral describes it as "partial 16S ribosomal RNA". It matches the Rfam family "Bacterial small subunit ribosomal RNA", at positions 508 to 808 of the family's 1533-position model. The record is from RNAcentral.
GCAGUAGCCGCGGUAAUACGUAGGUCCCGAGCGUUGUCCGGAUUUAUUGGGCGUAAAGCGAGCGCAGGCGGUUAGAUAAGUCUGAAGUUAAAGGCUGUGGCUUAACCAUAGUACGCUUUGGAAACUGUUUAACUUGAGUGCAAGAGGGGAGAGUGGAAUUCCAUGUGUAGCGGUGAAAUGCGUAGAUAUAUGGAGGAACACCGGUGGCGAAAGCGGCUCUCUGGCUUGUAACUGACGCUGAGGCUCGAAAGCGUGGGGAGCAAACAGGAUUAGAUACCCGCGUAGUCCCUGUCUCUUAUACA